This 504-nucleotide ribosomal RNA is filed under the name uncultured bacterium. RNAcentral's name for it is "partial 16S ribosomal RNA". It matches the Rfam family "Bacterial small subunit ribosomal RNA", at positions 28 to 523 of the family's 1533-position model. The record is from RNAcentral.
GAUGAACGCUAGCGGCAGGCUUAAUACAUGCAAGUCGAGGGGUAGCAAGAUUGUAGCAAUACAAUUGUUGACGACCGGCAAACGGGUGCGGAACACGUACACAACCUUCCUACAAGUGGGGAAUAGCCCAGAGAAAUUUGGAUUAAUACCCCGUAACAUAGCGAUGUGGCAUCACAUUGCUAUUAUAGCUUCGGCGCUUGUUGAUGGGCGGGCGGCUGAUUAGAUAGUUGGCGGGGUAACGGCCCACCAAGUCUACGAUCAGUAGCUGAUGUGAGAGCAUGAUCAGCCACACGGGCACUGAGACACGGGCCCGACUCCUACGGGAGGCAGCAGUAAGGAAUAUUGGACAAUGGACGCAAGUCUGAUCCAGCCAUGCCGCGUGAAGGAUUAAGGUCCUCUGGAUUGUAAACUUCUUUUAUAAGGGACGAAAAAAGGUCUUUCUAGAUCGUCUGACGGUACCUUAUGAAUAAGCACCGGCUAACUCCGUGCCAGCAGCCGCCGUAA